RNAcentral lists this ribosomal RNA (263 nucleotides) under uncultured bacterium. Its description in RNAcentral is "partial 16S ribosomal RNA". It matches the Rfam family "Bacterial small subunit ribosomal RNA", at positions 781 to 1044 of the family's 1533-position model. The record is from RNAcentral.
GAUACCCGCGUAGUCCACGCCGUAAACGAUGGGUACUAGGUGUAGGGGCGCCAGCCUCUGUGCCGCAGUUAACACAUUAAGUACCCCGCCUGGGAAGUACGAUCGCAAGAUUAAAACUCAAAGGAAUUGACGGGGGCCCGCACAAGCAGCGGAGCAUGUGGUUUAAUUCGAAGCAACGCGAAGAACCUUACCAAGGCUUGACAUCCAGAGAAUCCUGUGGAAACACGGGAGUGCCCUUCGGGGAACUCUGAGACAGGUGGUGC